Molecule: ribosomal RNA, 440 nt
Filed under: uncultured bacterium
Lineage: Bacteria
Description: partial 16S ribosomal RNA
Rfam family: Bacterial small subunit ribosomal RNA
Source: RNAcentral
CCUACGGGUGGCAGCAGUGGGGAAUAUUGGACAAUGGGGGAAACCCUGAUCCAGCGACGCCGCGUGAGUGAAGACGUCUCUCUGUAUGUAAAGCUCUAUCAGCAGGGAAGAAAAUGACGGUACCUGACUAAGACGCCCCGGCUAACUACGUGCCAGCAGCCGCGGUAAUACGUAGGGGGCAAGCGUUAUCCGGAUUUACUGGGUGUAAAGGGAGCGUAGACGGGGCUGCAAGUCUGAUGUGAAAGGCCGGGGCCCAACCCCGGGACUGCAUUGGAAACUGUAGGACUGGAGUGCAGGAGAGGUAAGCGGAAUUCCUAGUGUAGCGGUGAAAUGCGUAGAUAUUAGGAGGAACACCAGUGGCGAAGGCGGCUUACCGGACUGUAACUGACGUUGAGGCUCGAAAGCGUGGGGAGCAAACAGGAUUAGAUACCCUAGUAGUC